UGUCAAAUUUUAGUCAGGAGCAUAGUUAGGAAGAGAAAGAAGAAAGAGAAAGAAAGAAAGAAAGAAAGAAAGAAAGAAAGAAAGAAAGAAAGAAAGAAAGAAAGAAAGAAAGAAAGAAAGAAAGAAAGAAAGAAAGAAAGAAAGAGAAAGAAAGAGAAAGGAAGGAAGGAAGGAAGAGAAAGGAAGGAAGGAAGGAAGGAAGGAAGGAAGGAAGGAAGGAAGGAAGGAAGGAAGGAAGGAAGGAAGGAAGAGGUAACAUUCUCAAUUUAUUUUUCUAGUACUAAAUCUGUAGCUGUGUAUGAUAUUCCCUUGGUUCUACUCAUUUUGCUGUUCAUUAUGCCAAGUAGUUCUUUCCAAGUCUUAUUUUUAUUUACCUUGUUUAUUGUUUGUCAUGGUACAGUAGUAUUCUAUCACAAUCAUAUGGCACAAUUUGUUUAGCCGUCAAGUGUUGGUCAUACCUUAAUUUCCAGUUUUUUUAUAAAUUUUUCCACUACAUAGAGAUUUACUAUAAAUAUUUUGGAACAUAAAUGUUUUUUUUUCCUUUUUCCCUGAUCUCCUUGGGAAAUAGAUCUAGCAAUUUUUGCUGGGUUUAUGUAUACAGGAUUUUAUAACUCUGUAUAUAUGAGACCAGUUUUUUAAAACUGUGGGACUAAAGAAUCAUAGAAUUAGAACUUAAAGAAACUAUAGAGAUCAUUGAACACAGUUCUCUAAUUUAAUAGAUGAGAUGAAAAGUGAGGUCACACAGGUGAUAAGUAGAAAAACAAGAAUCUAAACCAAAUAUUUGGACUGUAUCUCACCUUUUUCAGAGGAUGAGAGUUAUCAAGAUCCUCUGGAAGUAGUCUACUGGGGAACACAGUGAGGAAAUAAAAGGAUAACAUGAGAGUGCA
This 887-nucleotide long non-coding RNA is filed under the name Monodelphis domestica (gray short-tailed opossum). Its description in RNAcentral is "lncRNA (ENSMODG00000047314.1)". The record is from RNAcentral. Lineage: Eukaryota; Metazoa; Chordata; Mammalia; Didelphimorphia; Didelphidae.